UAGCUAGCCAGCCUCGCAUGAUGAAUCUUGACUCUCUGAGUGGCAGCUGUGAUGAGCUUUCCUGACCCUCUAAGAAGUUGACUGAAGAGGCUUAUCUUCU
Molecule: small nucleolar RNA, 100 nt
Organism: Heteronotia binoei (common prickly gecko)
Lineage: Eukaryota; Metazoa; Chordata; Lepidosauria; Squamata; Gekkonidae
Product: small nucleolar RNA SNORD125
Exons: 1
Source: RefSeq, a predicted model, not a curated record